GGACACAACCUAACGGUCCUGUGCCGGUCACCAGAAUUCGCCGGGCACCCAAUUCAUGCAACGACUGGUUGGUUUAAUAAAUUCGAAGCGAGAACAACGGUGAGUCCAUAUUAUACAAUUUUAAAAUUAAAAUUAAAAUUAAAAUAAAAAAAGAUUGAUUCGUACCACGAGGAUUUUCUCGUACUCUGAAAUGAGGUAGGUGACGUAAUCAGGUAACGAGAAUUGGCGCGAUCUGGCAGAGAAUGGCAAGAGAUAGUAGUUGUUCACAAAGUCAUUUCCACCCAGAGUGAUUAAAACCAACGCAUUUUUCAC
Molecule: long non-coding RNA, 312 nt
Filed under: Zostera marina
Lineage: Eukaryota; Viridiplantae; Streptophyta; Magnoliopsida; Alismatales; Zosteraceae
Description: long non-coding RNA (ZMAR_LNC001125)
Source: RNAcentral